GCGUGGAGACAGGUGGUGCAUGGCUGUCGUCAGCUCGUGUCGUGAGAUGUUGGGUCAAGUCCCGCAACGAGCGCAACCCUUGCCCCUUGUUGCCAUCAGGUCAUGCUGGGCACUCUAGGGGAACUGCCCCGGUCAACGGGGAGGAAGGCGGGGAUAACGUCAAGUCAUCAUGCCCCUUACGCCCUGGGCUACACACGUGCUACAAUGGCCGGUACAAAGGGAUGCAAGACCGCGAGGUGGAGCUAAACCCAAAAAGCCGGUCUAAGUUCAGAUUGGAGUCUGCAACUCGACUCCAUGAAGGAGGAAUCGCUAGUAAUCGCGUAUCAGCACGACGCGGUGAAUACGUUCCCGGGCCUUGUACACACCGCCCGUCGCACCACGAAAGUCAGCUGUACUCGAAGUCGCUGAG
This 409-nucleotide ribosomal RNA is filed under the name uncultured Methylomirabilota bacterium. RNAcentral's name for it is "bacterial SSU rRNA". It matches the Rfam family "Bacterial small subunit ribosomal RNA", at positions 1026 to 1434 of the family's 1533-position model. Lineage: Bacteria; Methylomirabilota (SeqCode). The record is from RNAcentral.